UCCACGCCGUAAACGAUGACAACUAGCCGUGGGGACCCUUGAGGUUUUGGUGGCGCAGCUAACGCGAUAAGUUGUCCGCCUGGGGAGUACGGCCGCAAGGCUAAAACUCAAAUGAAUUGACGGGGGCCCGCACAAGCGGUGGAGCAUGUUGUUUAAUUCGAUGCACGCGAAGAACCUUACCACCCCUUGACAUCCUCAGAACUUGUUAGAAAUAACUUGGUGCCUUCGGGAACUGAGUGAC
RNAcentral lists this ribosomal RNA (241 nucleotides) under uncultured bacterium. RNAcentral describes it as "partial 16S ribosomal RNA". It matches the Rfam family "Bacterial small subunit ribosomal RNA", at positions 794 to 1035 of the family's 1533-position model. The record is from RNAcentral.